GGUUUUUGAUUAUAAUAUAAAAUUUGACCUGCCCACUGAAAGUUUAAAGGGCCGCGGUAUUUUGACCGUGCAAAGGUAGCAUAAUCAUUAGUUUUUUAAUUGAAAGCUGGAAUGAAUGGUUGGACGAGAAAAUAUCUGUCUCUGAUUAAUUUAAGUAAAAUUUAAUUUUUAAGUAAAAAAGCUUAAAUGAUGUUAAAAGACGAGAAGACCCUAUAGAGUUUUAUAUUUUUAUAGAAAGUUAUAUUUAAGAAUGAAUUUUUAAUUUUUGAAUAAAGUAUUUUAUUGGGGUGAUAGGAAGAUUUAAUAAACUCUUUUUUUUUGUUAACAUUUAUUUAUGAGUAAUUGAUCCAAUUUUUUUGAUUAUAAGAUUAAAUUACCUUAGGGAUAACAGCGUAAUUUUUUUUGAGAGUUCUUAUCGAAAUAAAAGAUUGCGACCUCGAUGUUGGAUUAAAGUUGAUUUUUGGUGUAGUUGCUGAAAUAUUAAGUCUGUUCGACUUUUGAAACUUUACAUGAUCUGAGUUUAAACCGGUGUGAGCCAGGUUGGUUUCUAUCUUUAAUUUAUGAAAAUGUUUUAGUACGAAAGGACCAAAUAUUUAAUAUAUUUAUUUUUUUUUGAAUUUUAUUGUUACUUUGGCAGACUAGUGCAAUGGAUUUAGAAUCUUUUUAUGUAAAAUUUUACAUGUAAUAUUUGUAUUUUUUUGAUUUUUUUUUAUUAUUUAUUAAUAUACUAAUUUUAAUUAUCUUUGUUUUAGUAGGAGUAGCUUUUUUUACAUUGUUAGAACGAAAAAUUUUAGGAUAUAUUCAAAUUCGUAAAGGG
This 817-nucleotide ribosomal RNA is filed under the name Ancyronyx procerus. RNAcentral's name for it is "partial 16S ribosomal RNA". The stretch from base 1 to 578 matches the Rfam family "Bacterial large subunit ribosomal RNA", at positions 1829 to 2925 of the family's 2925-position model. The record is from RNAcentral. Lineage: Eukaryota; Metazoa; Arthropoda; Insecta; Coleoptera; Elmidae.